GACGAACGCUGGCGGCGUGCUUUACACAUGCAAGUCGAACGGUAAGGCCCUUCUUUUUUGUGGUGCUCGAGUGGCGAAUGGGUGAUUAAUCAGUAAGUAAUCUGCCCUUGACUUUGGGGUAACUUCAGGUUACUUGGUCUCAUACCCGAUAUACGCUCCUGCUCCAUGGUUGUUGUUGGAUCGCUUCGGCGGUUGGGGAUGGACCGGCGGCUUAUCAGCUUGUUGGUGGGGUAGUGGCUUACCAAGGCCUUGACGGGUACCCGGCAUGAGAGGGUGACCGGGCACAAUGGGACUGAGGUACGGCGCAGACUCCUACGGGAGGCAGCAGUGGGAAAUAUUACACAAUGGGCGGAAGCCUAAUGCAGCAACGCCGCGGUCGGGAUGACGGCCUGCGGGUUGUGAACCGCUUUCGCCUGAGAAGGAGCGUGAAUGACGGUAAUGGAUAAAGAAGCACCGGCUAACUACGUG
RNAcentral lists this ribosomal RNA (468 nucleotides) under uncultured bacterium. RNAcentral describes it as "partial 16S ribosomal RNA". It matches the Rfam family "Bacterial small subunit ribosomal RNA", at positions 28 to 507 of the family's 1533-position model. The record is from RNAcentral.